This 345-nucleotide long non-coding RNA is filed under the name Felis catus (domestic cat). RNAcentral describes it as "lncRNA (ENSFCAG00000051880.1)". Lineage: Eukaryota; Metazoa; Chordata; Mammalia; Carnivora; Felidae. The record is from RNAcentral.
AUGCUACAUUCUAUUAACUCUCUCCAUGGUUCUCUGCAGUACAGGCAUCCCCUCCUGCCACCCAGUAUGAUAAUUGUGCCUACCUCGCUUCUGAUCAGACCUAUUUCAAAGCAUCAGCAGCUUCAGGAUUUCUCUCUUGAGCCAAAGAAAAGUAGAGCUUUCUCUAACCUUCUUACAAAAGAGCACAUACAGCCCAGAUCCGUAGACCUAGUUUACCAGAUAAAGCAGCUCCAGCUUCCUGUGUAUUUUGCAGCAUUGAGAACAAUCAUGUUGUGGGUUCCGAAGUACCAUACAUGGCUUCCGCUGCCCGGCCCCAGAGAGGCCCUGGAGAGUGAUAAAAUUUGA